AGCUUUGCGCAGUGGCAGUGUCGUAGCCGAUGAGGUUUAUCUGAGGCGCCAUUAUUGCUAAUUAAAAUCCUAGUGGCACAACCCUAAGAAGGUGGCAAAAGGAAGGUUAGGAAAACUUGCUAACUGG
RNAcentral lists this small nuclear RNA (127 nucleotides) under Zalophus californianus (California sea lion). Its description in RNAcentral is "U4 spliceosomal RNA (ENSZCAG00015018004.1)". The stretch from base 1 to 72 matches the Rfam family "U4 spliceosomal RNA". Rfam says of the family: U4 small nuclear RNA (U4 snRNA) is a component of the major U2-dependent spliceosome. The structure of U4 snRNA from yeast and human has been reported. Lineage: Eukaryota; Metazoa; Chordata; Mammalia; Carnivora; Otariidae. The record is from RNAcentral.